Long non-coding RNA from Helicoverpa armigera (cotton bollworm), 426 nucleotides. RefSeq lists it as uncharacterized. The transcript has 3 exons. NCBI's taxonomy places the organism in Eukaryota, Metazoa, Arthropoda, Insecta, Lepidoptera, Noctuidae. The record is from RefSeq and is a predicted model, not a curated record.
UGUUGUUUUACUCGGAAAAUGUCUGCACCUGGUAGAAGUCGAGUAAACUACUCUUUGUCUCGCCGGUGUGUUAAUUGCUCUUUACGUAUAGCGCCUAAUCUGCGUAGACGUUAAAUUGAAGAAAUAGAUGAACCAAUGCUUAUCCUUCUAAGAUCCUGGGUAACACCUACAUUGAUAUCUUCUGAUGAUAUCCUGUGUGUGAAAUGUUUUGUAUUAUUACAAAACCAGACAGCAUCUAACUCAAAUCUGUCACUUGUAUCCCCUGCUCGUGGACACCUAAACAUAUGCUACGCAUGUGGCUUGUCAAUAGCAAGUCGCAGAACUCAUAGAGUCAGUCAAGAUAGUUCCUCAAAGGAAUGUUAUACUAAGAUGGACACCAGCACAUCACGUGUUGCAUUUGGAACGAGUUUGUGUUCCUUGUUGGCG